CCUACGGGUGGCAGCAGUGAGGAAUAUUUGUCAAUGGACGAGAGUCUGAACCAGCCAAGUAGCGUGAAGGAUGACUGCCCUAUGGGUUGUAAACUUCUUUUAUAUGGGAAUAAAAUGUUCCACGUGUGGGUUUUUGUAUGUACCAUAUGAAUAAGGAUCGGCUAACUCCGUGCCAGCAGCCGCGGUAAUACGGAGGAUCCGAGCGUUAUCCGGAUUUAUUGGGUUUAAAGGGAGCGUAGGUGGAUUGUUAAGUCAGUUGUGAAAGUUUGCGGCUCAACCGUAAAAUUGCAGUUGAAACUGGCAGUCUUGAGGACAGUAGAGGUGGGCGGAAUUCGUGGUGUAGCGGUGAAAUGCUUAGAUAUCACGAAGAACUCCGAUUGCGAAGGCAGCUCACUGAACUGCAACUGACACUGAGGCUCGAAAGUGUGGGUAUCAAACAGGAUUAGAGACCCGUGUAGGC
RNAcentral lists this ribosomal RNA (460 nucleotides) under uncultured bacterium. RNAcentral describes it as "partial 16S ribosomal RNA". It matches the Rfam family "Bacterial small subunit ribosomal RNA", at positions 338 to 795 of the family's 1533-position model. The record is from RNAcentral.